This 194-nucleotide ribosomal RNA is filed under the name uncultured bacterium. Its description in RNAcentral is "partial 16S ribosomal RNA". It matches the Rfam family "Bacterial small subunit ribosomal RNA", at positions 162 to 353 of the family's 1533-position model. The record is from RNAcentral.
GCUAAUACCGCAUGAGACUACAGAGCUGCAUGGCUCAGUGGUCAAAGGAGCAAUCCGCUGAAAGAUGGACUCGCGUCCGAUUAGAUAGUAGGCGGGUAACGGCCCACCUAGUCGACGAUCGGUAGCCGGACUGAGAGGUUGAACGGCCACAUUGGGACUGAGACACGGCCCAAACUCCUACGGGAGGCAGCAUG